Molecule: long non-coding RNA, 6430 nt
Organism: Dermochelys coriacea (leatherback sea turtle)
Lineage: Eukaryota; Metazoa; Chordata; Testudines; Dermochelyidae
Exons: 7
Source: RefSeq, a predicted model, not a curated record
CCGCCCUCCCUCCUCCAAAACAAAAACGCGCGCGAACCCCCCCCCCCCCGCACCCCGUGCCGGGGAGUCCGCAGCACCUCGCUUAGGCGUAGGGCUGGUUCCUGCAACUUCUAGCCCCGGGUGUGAUGCGAGUCAGUGAGGUUCACUUUCUGGGGCUGGGAGUGCGUCACUGCUGGUUAGCGAGGGGUGCAGGGGUUGCAGCUCAGGACUGAUUUGAUCUCUCUCUCUCGCCCCCCCCGGCACUCCGUCUGAAUUGGCCUGGAAAGUUGCGAAGCGGGGUGGGCGGCAUGAGAAAGUUAAACACAAAGCGAGGAGGGCUCCUUUGUUCCGCUGGGGGGGGGGGGGAGAGAGGGGGGGACCUUUGGAGAGGGUGGCUGAGCCAGACACAUACAGGUCAGGAGCGAUCGACAGCGAUUAGCCUUUCCCGUCAAACGCCUCCCUCCCCCCAAAGGAGCCAGGCGCUUGGAGGAGGAGGAGGAAAGCGGAAGGUGUAUCGCACCAAGGGGAUGCUGCUGGCACCAUCUCUGUGGUUUGCGCAACAGGUAGAGAUGCCAAAGACUGGAAAUAUCUUUUGUUGUUGGUCUCGUGGCCGGGAUUAAGCUUUUGUUCUGAAGGCUGGAUGUCGCCACAAGUGAAAGGACACAGUCUUGCCAAAUCCACUCGUGUGGGUGCUUGUGUGCCUGUAAAUGGACCCUUUCUUCUCUUGUUUUUAUAUUUUCCUUUAAUCUACAUUUGUCCUUCAGACUGUAAAAGACCAAACUGACCGAAACCAGAUACCAAGGGGAUUGUUCUCAGUGAGUGUCAAGGGAAUCCAAACAAAGAGGUGCAUCUACCGGAAAUAAUGAUUUGAGAGAUGUUUCUCUCCCUCUCCCCCCCCCCCCCCCCCCGAUUGAAAUUGUUUUUCUGGGAGGCUCAGUUAGCAGGAAGUUUGGAUUUGGGAGCCUGCUAGAGAUGGGGAGGACUAACGUCUGCAGUGUUAAUUGAAUGGAGGAAGAAGAAGAGAGGAAGGGCAGUGUUGGACCUGAGUUGCUCCUUUGGAUACGCAAGGACUGGGCUGGGGGAGGGAAAGGGGGGAGAGGCAGAGAGGAACCUGCUGCCGCUUGCUGGCUCUUUGUCUGCUCAGGGAACUUGAACAAAAGGAGAAACUCGGAUGAACUCUCCAUCUCUCUCUUCUUCUGGGUUAUCUAAUCUUCGGGAACUUUAUCCAGAGAGAAUUGCCCAACUUCCUCCAAGCUUUCUCAUUACUUACAAAACAAACGGCCCCACCGUGGCCUCAUAAGGAAUUCCCUCGAUUUCGUUUUCAGAGUUAAAGAAGGGAGAAGGUAAAGUCUGAUUGACAGAGAAGCAUGAUGGCUGCCAAAACACCUUACAGGAAUAGGUGCCAUAUUGCAUUUGCUCUUCAAAUGGUGGAAUACGGCUUUGGAUACUUUAGUGGGGAUUAACAGAGUACAAACACUGAAUGACUAAAGACAUCAAACAUCAUCAUUUGGAUUUAUAUAUCUAUUAAUAAACUGAUAAAAGUGGUGGUAGUUGCUCUUGAAGAAAUCAGAAAAUAUGGAAGGUACUGUUGAAAAUGGUCUGGAGUAGAUCGCUUUGUGACAAUGAUAUUCUACAAUUAAAAUAAGGAAUUGGCCAUCUUUCUUUUGUACGGUUGCUGAAGCAUUAUCACAGGACAGCAAGGAUUGAUGAAUAUCGUUCAGGUAUGAGUCAUGUCAGUAUAGUGAAAGAGGAGGAUUUAUGUUUCUGAAGUGGGAUUGUGUAUGUGAUCAAAGGAUUUACAUGCAGCACUCUGUGCUGUAGUUCCUUCCUGCUCCAGGAGGGACACCUGGGGUGAUGUCUUCAUUCUGCUAUUGAACAUGGUAAAGGGCCUCUAUCUGCAAGCUGGCAUUCCGAUACCAUCAUUGGUCUCUGAAGCAGCAACAUUAGAUACACUGUGAUGGGCAACCUAGAAAUACCAAGAGCAGCAAGCAGCAUGCUACAUCUUCAUUUUUAGCUUUUUUCCAUACUCUGCUCUGCUUCGAGCUGCGCUGUUUGGAAGAAGCAUCGUCGUCUUUUCUCACAGCUACGACACGGCACCGCUCUCAGCAUUUCCUGCUUUUUCCCCCCAUUUACCUGGGCGGCUUCUGCUGUUUCUGUUGCUGCUGCUGGGGCUGCUGCAGUUUGGCUGCCUGUGCUUCACCCUGGCAUGUCUGAGUCAGGAAUCACUCGUCUGCACAUUGCUAAGGAACAGCAGCGAUGGAACUCUGGCCUCAUUUUUUUUUCUGUUGGUGCUGGAAGAGAUGGGUUGUGAUGUGGGGGAUGGGGUGUUUUGGGGUUUUUUUUGGAAGGGUGGGGACAUUAAUCCAAAGUGAGGUGGGAGAAAGUUUAAAGAAAUAUUAUGCAAAAUAAUCCAGCACACGACAAGGGCAUCAGCAGCACGAAUCCAGCCUCUGCUGCUCGAAAGGAUUAACAUGGGAAAAGCCACAGUGAUGCAGUAAUGUUUCACCUCAGCACUGUGCUGGAGAUGGAUAAAUAAGGUAUCUGAUAUGUCCGCCUGUAAAGGCAAAGCUGUGGGAGGAAGAGAGCGAGAGAGCAAAUGAAAAGGAAGAAGAAACACUGUAUUUUGUUUGUCUGAUUCUGUGCAUUCUUAUUCUAGAGAUGGUUGCAUAAUUUACCAAACAAUGUAUGGACGGAGGGACUGUAAAUUGUAGUCUGAACACUCCUGACGCUGUCAGGGAGGGAACUGAUGGGCUAGGUGACUGCACUGACAUCCCCAGGGAAAACGGCCAUCAUGCAGUAUAUAUUUAUAUAUGUAUGUGUACCUCUUGUGUGUCCAUGUGUAGACAUGAAAAAAGGCAUUUCUGACCAAUUUACACAGGAAGUUUGUGAGUUUGCUAGAUCAGAUUUGAUUGCAGCUUAUAUUUUCAGCUAUAGCUCUACACCCAUUUCCUGAAUCAGAAGGUGCUUUGUGAAAACAGACGUAUGCAGAAUUCUUUUAAGAAAUGUGAAAGCAGCCCCUUUUGAUUUUACACCUUGAAGCACUGAAUCUUCUGUACUGUGCUGAGAGGAACUGUGUGGGUUUUGUUUUCUUCAUCUUAAAAUCUUUAUAAACACAGCUGUAUUUAGUAUGGUGAAAAAUUCUAUACUGUAAAUAGAAAUGUGAUCAAUCUAAUCAAAAUAAAUGUAUCCCAGAUGACUGCUAGACCAGCUGGCUACCACAGUCUUCAGAUGGCUAAAUGCUCAACUGAGAUGGAUUCAGCAUUAUAUUUACUACUUUUUUUAAAUUUCAAAAUCAGCCUAUAAUUAAAAAAAGAUUCUUGGUCCGGUUAAAAGAGGCAAUGCUCACAACUGGCAUGCAUCAUUCUGAAAGGGACACUGAUAUUUUUCAUUUUUGGACAUGCCUUUGGAAGAUUGUGUUUUUAGAACAGAUGGACUUAUCAUAAUACAGACAUAGUUAGUAUGGUGAAAACUAGUAGACAGAUCAGGUUGGCCAUAUCCAUGUCAUGUGCAAAAUGAAGUUAAGGGAAAUAAAUGCUCCACUCAACUAGUGGGGACUUGGUAUGAUUUUUAGCCACCACCUACUGUGAGAGUUUUGGGUUUUUUUAAACACAAAACCCAUAAAGUCAUCUUAAAAUUUGUAUGAGGGGAUUUCCCAAUAGGUCAUGGUGAGCUAUCCUGCAAGACGCCUGUCUGGGCCUUCAACUAUUUGUUACCAGGUCUACAAAGGCAGCCCUGUGUGUUGGAUUAUAUUUAGCCAGCUGUUGGAUAACAUUCCUGUGUUGUGGGUGGAGGAAUCUUAUUACUUCCAAACUAUAGUUAUCUGUUUAAAGGAAAAAUAGUUUUGGAAAAUACAUUGAGCUCAGCUGAGGAGUUGCACCUCUCAUGUACGUUUCUCAAAUACUGUUUUUCCAACCCAGCCACUUUAAAACAAAACAGGGAGGAGGAAGAGAGACUUUAACUCAUAGCUUCAAAGCUGCAGAGACAAGCAAAAUGUCAGCAGCUUGUAAUUAGCUGCUCAGGGUUACAUCAGUGACUGUAUCUCUCCAAGAAUAACUGUGAUGUGUGCCACAAAGUAAGGAAGAUAGUCAUAACCUAGUUAUCAAGCCAGGUUCAAACAAGAGCAAAUGGAUUAAUGAAUCUGCUGUGUUCAUAAAUCAAAUACGGAUGGAUUACGUAUAUAAGACUUACUGAAUUCUGCAUAAUUGAAGGCUGAAUUAGGAACUUGUCAGAGGGCAUGUGUUCACUAAGUAAAAGUGUGAAUCCUUUAAAAAAAUGCAGAUGAACUAUCCCUGAAAAUGUCUUUAAGGACUCCAUCUAGUACAAGCAGCUGUGUGACACUGAAGCAUGCUACAACGGAAAAAAUUAAGAGAUGCACGGAGGUGCUUAAAAGAAAGGGAGGAAAAAUACAUAAAGAAAGCAUGCUGAAAUUCUGUUUUGGCAUUACAGAUUUGAUAUUAAAAUACCACCCCAGAGAAGAUUUAUUGUGGUCUGAUGUGGUUUACAUUGACUCCUCUGUUUAAGAGUGCAAAAAAAGAAAAAAGAUUUUGUGAGGCUCAGUACAACAUCUUGGAGCCAAGCAGAAAACCAUCAAUACUGCAGAGUACCAGGACUGCUUGUUUUUAAAGGGACAAGAUCAAGCCAUGCUAGGAUCUUUCUGUACUCUGCAAUUAUUCUAGAUCUAUGCUGGCAAUUCAGCAACAUUUAAACAGUGAGAUUGUGGGGGGUACUUAAUCUGCUCUGAUUGGCCCUUUUCCACAUUGUUGCUGUAAAAUGUUUACAUGGCUUUUAUCCAUACACCUUACAACGUUCAAUUUGCAUUUCUGUUUGUGUUCAUGCUGCACAAUUGUUACAAGCCUGGUUUGUUUCCAUAUUCCCAGCUGAAGUCAGUUUCAGUUGAGCUAUGUUUAUUCACUCCUUAAUACACCAAGAUAGAUAGUUUGUAUUAUGCAAACACAGAUUUUUUUUUUACUGUGAACACAAAUUUGUAGGAGGAGAUGACUGUAUAUUAAACCAAUAGCUCUUUGAAAUGCAUGUAAUAUAAUUUAAAUAUACUUAAUUUAAUUAAUAGAAGGUUACAAAAGCUAGCAUUGUCUGAGCUUGUUUAAUUUACAUCUUAGACUUAGUCAAUGAGCAUAACCUGCCUGAUCGGAAUAGUGUAUUCUGUGCACCCAACGGGGUGGAAGACAUUAUUUUGUUUGUGUUAGUUCAAACAGCUGGUCAUUAAUGCAGGACCCAUCUCCAGAGUGAAGUGUUAGUGGACAUGAAUGGCUCCCUGAUUAAUGCUGCCCCUCGAAGGCUCCUUCAUCCAGCAGCGAUGCUUGCAUCAGAAUAAUGCAGCAUGAUUUGAUUGCGCUCUAGCAGGGUAGUAUGUCAUUGUGUCACCAGGCAAUUGAGGUUAUUAUGGAGCAGGGCAGACAGACGGGACAGUGGGGUUACUAGACCGUGGCAUUUUUAGAAAUACAGGCCUGACCUACUUAGAGUUAUUCUUGCUGGCUGGCAGCUUCAUGGUGCAUGGAGUGUCCUGAUAGGCCGAGACUGUUGCUAGGGGGAAUUAGCAUGAAUUUUUCCACAUACAGACUCGGUGAUUGAAUGAUAAAAGCUGACUGGAAUUAAAGAGAUUCGGUUCAGUAUUAUGCAGAUUUAUCUCCCUCAUUUUUCUCUCUCAAAUGCAGAAAAAGGAGCAAAGACAGUUUCUUGCCAUUUAUUCUUUGACCUAUUUUUUGCAGAGGAAGGCAAAAGAGUUAUGAAAUGUUGACGAUCAUUUACUGUUUUAAUCUUUAAAAUGAUGCUGCAAAGGGUAAGAUAUUUAAGUUCAUAAACUGCUUGGAACAGGUAACAGAUUAGGGGUUUUAUUCUCUCUUUCUCUCCUGUGCACUGCACUAUUUUGAGGCAUGCAUCUUUCAUGUACUGUAUAUUUGAACUCUGUCCCCUUUAGAAGAGAACAAAACACGUAUAUAAAUUUUGUUCUAUCCAAACAACUGGCUUGUUUAAAAGAAGCUAUGUAGGAUUCCCAGUUUGGAAAGGGAAAUAUAUACCAGCUUUUAUUGCAUAACAUUAUUCUUGACUCUUUUUAGCUAUUCUUACUCACAAAAUUAGUCUGUUUAUGUUCUUAGAUGAAAUUCUUCUCCCCAGUCUCUGUCUCCCAUAUGCACAGACACACACAGGAUUUUUACAGAGGACAGUGUUGUGUGUAGUGUUUAUCUGGAAAACUAUUUGCAUACUGAAGACAUAUCUGUGCUGCAUGUACAGUAGAUAGUUAUAGCUGGCCUGUGAUCAGUUUGAUAAGAUAACCUCUUCUGGAUUUCCAAAUAGCUUUCUGUGUUCAGUUUGGAACUGGACUUCCUCAAUAGCUCUUUUUUUAUACCCAUCCCCUUAAAUCAGUGCAGUUUAGUUUGUUUUUAACAGAAUUCUAACCUCCCUUCAGGAGGCAAAUAAAAACAGUCAAUCAAGA